GUCGCUGACGAGUGGCGCACGGGUGAGUAACGCGUGGGUUACCUGCCCAUAAGUGGGGAACAACUUGGAGAAAUCCAAGCUAAUACCGCAUAAUACCUUCGGGUUAAAGAGGGGGAUCUUCGGACCUCUCGCUUAUGGAUGGUCCCGCGUCUGAUUAGCUAGUUGGUAGGGUAAUGGCCUACCAAGGCAAUGAUCAAUAGCUGGUCUGAGAGGAUGAUCAGUCACACUGGAACUGAGACACGGUCCAGACUCCUACGGGAGGCAGCAGUGGGGAAUUUUGCACCAUGGGCGAAAGCCUGAUGCAGCGACGCCGCGUGCGGGAAGAAGGCCUUCGGGUUGUAAACCGCUUUCAACAGGGAAGAAAGAAUGAGAGCUAAUACCUCUCUGCCUUGACGGUACCUGUAGAAGAAGCACCGGCUAAUUUCGUGCCAGCAGCCGCGGUAAUACGAAAGGUGCAAGCGUUGUUCGGAUUUACUGGGCGUAAAGAGAUCGUAGGUGGCUUGUUAAGUCGGAUGUGAAAUCCCGGGGCUCAACCCCGGAACUGCAUCCGAUACUGGCAGGCUUGAGUUUGGGAGGGGUAAGCGGAAUUCCGUGUGUAGCAGUGAAAUGCGUAGAUAUACGGAGGAACACCUGAGGCGAAAGCGGCUUACUGGACCAAUACUGACACUGAGGAUCGAAAGCGUGGGUAGCAAACAGGAUUAGAUACCCUGGCAGUCCACGCCCUAACGAUGUCAACUAGCCGUUGCGGGUAUCGACCCUGCAGUGCGCAGCUA
RNAcentral lists this ribosomal RNA (773 nucleotides) under uncultured bacterium. RNAcentral's name for it is "bacterial SSU rRNA". It matches the Rfam family "Bacterial small subunit ribosomal RNA", at positions 84 to 854 of the family's 1533-position model. The record is from RNAcentral.